Molecule: long non-coding RNA, 1296 nt
Filed under: Anser cygnoides (Swan goose)
Lineage: Eukaryota; Metazoa; Chordata; Aves; Anseriformes; Anatidae
Description: lncRNA (ENSACDG00005000940.1)
Source: RNAcentral
AAAAGUUUUAUUCUGUGGAAAAGUGCUACAGUCUGCAUUGUCAUUCUUCUUUUGAUUGUAUCAUAAUAUUUGUAUGUCUCUAUGUCUAAACCACUUCCUUUGGCUCCUUUGAUGCUGCCAAAACUUUAAAGGACCUUAAUGUUGUUUAAUCCAAAGAAUCUUCCUUUUACCUAAGCCAUUAAGAUGACAUCCUUCAAAAGAAUUCAAAUAAAUCAAAGAUUAGUUGUUUCAGAAUGCAUGUUCUCUUUCUUUUCUGAAUAGGUAGAACAACUAUUUACACAACUUAAAAUCCUUCCCAUUGCCUUUUACAGGAGCACAUACAUUCGCCUAUGACAUGCUACUUAUCAGAAGGUCUUUAAAAUCUUCAGCCUCACUGUUUUCUAGCAACACCAUGAAUAACUACUGCAGUAAUUGUUGCACUGUGAUGAUGGCCAUAAUAGGGUCUUCCAUUUUGAGUCUGCUGUAACUCAACAUAAACAGAAUCAAGCAAGUGGUAGAGGAAGUUAUUUUCUAUAACAUCACUAGUGUGACGUCAUCACACCCUGUUGUGAGGUGACUGUGUCAUGGCCCGGGUCAAGAGACAAGAGUAGCCAUUUUGUGGGCAUUCUAGUAUCUGACAGUAACCCAGAACUACCUCCACAAUUUUUUCCAAUAUCCCACAGUAACACAAAUUACCUCCAUGAGUAAUAUAGACAUAUCUAUCAUUAAACAAACAAACAAACAAAACAUGUAUAUUUUUAGUUCUGCUCCAUUGUAUUAUCACCAUUUUGUCUCAUAAAGCACCAGAAUAAGCAAUAAAACAUGUCUGUGAAGAGAAUAACAACAACAACAACAAAAAAGCAUGCCUCUUACUUGUAUGUGGACCACAAACACUAUGAACGUGGCACUGUUUCUGCUUCUCAACAGGAGGGUUUCUUACUAGCAAGAACAUGUAAGGUUAUGUAGAAGAGAGAAAAGGAGAUGAAGAUUUUAAGCUGAAGUUAAAAGCUUGUUGACCAGAGAAAAUGGAGGAAUCACUAAAAGAUGAAAUAAUGAUUAGAUUAAGAAGAAAGUAACUUCAGUUUUCAUGAUGGUAGGACUGAGAGGAGUUGAGAAUACAAAGGAGAAAUUCCAUUUUUAUGUCAAAGAGCAGGUCUGUACAAGCCUAAACUGAAAAGAAGAGGAAUCUGCUGCCAUGGUGGGUGACAGGUGAAGACAUUGCACCACAAGCAGAUGUCCACAGGAGGAGAGCAGAGGCAAAGCACAGUGUUCCACACAUUUAAUAAACACUUAUGUUAUUCCUAGGAGUCUCUUAGU